RNAcentral lists this long non-coding RNA (284 nucleotides) under Junco hyemalis (dark-eyed junco). RNAcentral describes it as "lncRNA (ENSJHYG00000017020.1)". Lineage: Eukaryota; Metazoa; Chordata; Aves; Passeriformes; Passerellidae. The record is from RNAcentral.
GUUGAAAUGAUGUUGCUCAAAGAUUUCCCAGCAUUGGCACAAGCUAAGCAAAUAAGGAAAAUACUGCUAUAAUCACUACAGAGAUGGAGAGUUCUGCUUAGCUCCCAUCUUUGUAUUCAAAACUGGAAAAAUUACAAGUGCUCGAAGUUUAUCCUGUCCAGAGUGCAGUGUGCUGAAGUGGCAUUAUCUUCACUUCACUGAUAAGAAGAUUUACAUCCACACAAAGCCAGACUGGAAGGUCUGGGCUAAGGGCUGGGCCCAGAGCUGCAGAUGUGGUGAUUACC